UCCAGGCGGCGAACUUCACGCGUUAGCUACGGUACUAAAGAAGUCUCCUUCUCCAACACCUAGUUCGCAUCGUUUAGGGCGUGGACUACCAGGGUAUCUAAUCCUGUUUGCUCCCCACGCUUUCGUGCAUGAGCGUCAGUGUUGACCCAGGGGGCUGCCUUCGCCAUCGGUGUUCCUCCACAUCUCUACGCAUUUCACUGCUACACGUGGAAUUCCACCCCCCUCUGCCACACUCGAGUCUCGCAGUCACAAACGCAGUUCCCAGGUUAAGCCCGGGGAUUUCACAUCUGUCUUACAAAACCGCCUGCGCACGCUUUACGCCCAGUAAUUCCGAUUAACGCUCGCACCCUACGUAUUACCGCGGCUGCUGGCACGUAGUUAGCCGGUGCUUCUUCUUCAGGUACCGUCAUUGAUGAAGGGUAUUAGCCCACACCGUUUCNUUCCUGCCGAAAGAGCUUUACAACCCGAAGGCCUUCUUCACUCACGCGGAAUGGCUGGAUCAGGGUUGCCCCCAUUGUCCAAAAUUCCCCACUGCUGCCUCCCGUA
This 546-nucleotide ribosomal RNA is filed under the name uncultured beta proteobacterium. RNAcentral's name for it is "partial 16S ribosomal RNA". Lineage: Bacteria; Pseudomonadati; Pseudomonadota; Betaproteobacteria. The record is from RNAcentral.